Molecule: ribosomal RNA, 492 nt
Filed under: uncultured bacterium
Lineage: Bacteria
Description: partial 16S ribosomal RNA
Rfam family: Bacterial small subunit ribosomal RNA
Source: RNAcentral
AGUGAACGCUGGCGGUAGGCCUAACACAUGCAAGUCGAACGGCAGCACAGUAAGAGCUUGCUCUUACGGGUGGCGAGUGGCGGACGGGUGCGGAAUACCUCGGAAUCUACUUUUUCGUGGGGGAUAACGUAGGGAAACUUACGCUAAUACCGCAUACGACCUACGGGUGAAAGCAGGGGAUCUUCGGACCUUGCGCGAUUGAAUGAGCCGAUGUCGGAUUAGCUAGUUGGCGGGGUAAAGGCCCACCAAGGCGACGAUCCGUAGCUGGUCUGAGAGGAUGAUCAGCCACACUGGAACUGAGACACGGUCCAGACUCCUACGGGAGGCAGCAGUGGGGAAUAUUGGACAAUGGGCGCAAGCCUGAUCCAGCCAUACCGCGUGGGUGAAGAAGGCCUUCGGGUUGUAAAGCCCUUUUGUUGGGAAAGAAAAGCAGCAGGUUAAUACCCCGCUGUUCUGACGGUACCCAAAGAAUAAGCACCGGCUAACUUCGUG